This 464-nucleotide ribosomal RNA is filed under the name uncultured eukaryote. RNAcentral describes it as "eukaryotic LSU rRNA". It matches the Rfam family "Eukaryotic large subunit ribosomal RNA", at positions 1785 to 2227 of the family's 3401-position model. The record is from RNAcentral.
CGGGCGGCCGCGGUCGUCCCAUGAAAAUCCGCGGAUGAACGAGUAGGCGACGGUCCGGGUCGUACCGAACGACCGCAUCGGGUCUCCAAGGUUGAAAGCCUCUGGCUAACGGGACAACGUAGGUAAGGGAAGUCGGCAAAUUGGAUCCGUAACUUCGGGAAAAGGAUUGGCUCUAAAGGUCGGGCCCGGGGGGUCCGGAGGGCGUCCGCCGCGCGGCCUCGACUCGGGGGACCGCCGCUUCGGCGGCGGGCUCGCGGGGCGUGGAAGCCGACGGGGCGCACGUCGGGGGAGGGGUCCUCUCGCCUCCGGGCGGGGGGCUCCGUCCCCGGGCGGUCGACGACUGGUUUAGAACUGAUACGGACUAGGAGAAUCCGACUGUUUAAUUAAAACGUAGCGUUGCGAAGGCCCCAGAGGGUGCUGACGCAACGUGAUUUCUGCCCAGUGCUCUGAAUGUUAAAGCGAAG